This 795-nucleotide ribosomal RNA is filed under the name Triticum aestivum (bread wheat). RNAcentral's name for it is "partial small subunit ribosomal RNA". Lineage: Eukaryota; Viridiplantae; Streptophyta; Magnoliopsida; Poales; Poaceae. The record is from RNAcentral.
AUGAAUGAGGCAAACACAACUUAUGCACAUGCGGUUCUAUCCAGUGGAGUGACCAUGGCACUAGAUGGGACUGAAGUUCUAUGUUACCCUGUGAAAAAUGUUGGUGUGCCAAUGGAAGCAACACUGUACGAUUUUCAGAUUGAGGAAAUGAUGGAGACAGCGACUGCACAUCUAAAGGUAAAGAUCUAUGGUUUGCCGUUACAUCUUUGGACUAGAAGAGCAAUUGAGCGUGCCCUGCAGCCACAUUGCAUUGUUGAGAAUGUUAGUCAAGCCAAUCUCAGCUUUUGCAAGCUUCGAUCAGUAAAUUACACGGCAUGGGCUGUUAGAACUGCUGUGCCAUUCCCAUGGUAUAUACUUGUUCAUGUCUCCAGCAAGUAUGACAAAGGAAGAAACCAAAGCAGUGGCCACAAGAACACAGAGACAUUUUGUAUUGGUGUUGACAGAAUUAAUAUUGGAGCUCCUCAUAACAAGUCUCUUCAAAGAACACACAGGAGGAUUCCUUCUUUCUUGCAGGCACUAAAGAAAGGAAUGGUUUCCCAUUCAUAUUUAAAUGAUGUUGACAUACCAGCUGACCAAAUGCGGAUAUUGGAAUCAUCAUUCCUCCUGACGUCUUGUGACGAGGGAAAAAUUAUCACAGAGGAUAAGUUAACACGCUGUUUGCAGCAAAUGCAGAUUGAAUGUCCUGGAAAAGUCAUAGUCAAGCAAGUUGGUAGGUUCAAAUACCUUAUAUAUUUCCAAGGGCCAGUAACUACAACUUUGUUUCACAUGUUGUCUACUGAUGCUGCUGGAAUCUAG